UACGUAGGCAGCAAGCGUUGUUCGGAGUUACUGGGCGUAAAGGGUGCGUAGGCGGCCCUGUAAGUAUGGUGUGAAAUCUCCCGGCUUAACUGGGAGGGUGCGCUAUAGACUGCGGGGCCCGAGUGUGGGAGAGGAAAGUGGAAUUCCUGGUGUAGCGGUGAAAUGCGUAGAUAUCAGGAGGAACACCGGUGGUGUAAACCGGCUUUCUGGACCAUAAACUGACG
RNAcentral lists this ribosomal RNA (224 nucleotides) under uncultured bacterium. RNAcentral's name for it is "partial 16S ribosomal RNA". It matches the Rfam family "Bacterial small subunit ribosomal RNA", at positions 524 to 745 of the family's 1533-position model. The record is from RNAcentral.